GACGAACGCUGGCGGCGUGCUUAACACAUGCAAGUCGAACGGAAAGGCCCUGCUUUUGUGGGGUGCUCGAGUGGCGAACGGGUGAGUAACACGUGAGUAACCUGCCCUUGACUUUGGGAUAACUUCAGGAAACUGGGGCUAAUACCGGAUAGGAGCUCCUGCUGCAUGGUGGGGGUUGGAAAGUUUCGGCGGUUGGGGAUGGACUGGCGGCUUAUCAGCUUGUUGGUGGGGUAGUGGCUUACCAAGGCUUUGACGGGUAGCCGGCCUGAGAGGGUGACCGGCCACAUUGGGACUGAGGUACGGCCCAGACUCCUACGGGAGGCAGCAGUGGGGAAUAUUGCACGAUGGGCGGAAGCCUGAUGCAGCAACGCCGCGUGCUGGAUGACGGCCUUCGGGUUGUAAACCGCUUUCGCCUGUGACGAAGCGUGAGUGACGGUAAUGGGUAAAGAAGCACCGGCUAACUACGUG
This 468-nucleotide ribosomal RNA is filed under the name uncultured bacterium. RNAcentral's name for it is "partial 16S ribosomal RNA". It matches the Rfam family "Bacterial small subunit ribosomal RNA", at positions 28 to 507 of the family's 1533-position model. The record is from RNAcentral.